CCCCUAGAUGUUCUGGGCCGCACGCGCGCUACACUGAACAGUUCAACAAGUCUUAACCUUGGCCGAUAGGUCUGGGUAAUCUUUGAACGCUGUUCGUGAUUGGGAUAGACCUUUGCAAUUAUGGGUCUUCAACGAGGAAUUCCUAGUAAACGCAAGUCAUCAGCUUGCAUUGAUUACGUCCCUGCCCUUUGUACACACCGCCCGUCGCACCUACCGAUUGAAUGGUCCGGUGAAAUCUCGGGACGGCGGCUCGGUCGCUUGCGUCCGACUGCUGAAACUUGAUUAAACCAUAUCAUUUAGGGGAAGGUGAAGUCGUAACA
This 320-nucleotide ribosomal RNA is filed under the name uncultured eukaryote. Its description in RNAcentral is "partial 18S ribosomal RNA". It matches the Rfam family "Eukaryotic small subunit ribosomal RNA", at positions 1470 to 1796 of the family's 1831-position model. The record is from RNAcentral.